AAAAUGAAAAAAAAAAGACUUCUAAUCUUUAAGUAGUGAGCGCACUUCAUUUUU
This 54-nucleotide transfer RNA is filed under the name Hyalella lucifugax. Its description in RNAcentral is "tRNA-Ser". The record is from RNAcentral. Lineage: Eukaryota; Metazoa; Arthropoda; Malacostraca; Amphipoda; Hyalellidae.